This is a long non-coding RNA of Ailuropoda melanoleuca (giant panda), 1234 nucleotides long. RefSeq lists it as uncharacterized. The record is from RefSeq and is a predicted model, not a curated record. Lineage: Eukaryota; Metazoa; Chordata; Mammalia; Carnivora; Ursidae. The transcript has 3 exons.
UCUUUUUCCGCUUUCUACCUGCAAGAAGAAAUAUCUGGAAAAAGAAAAAAAUGCCAGUCAAGAAUAUCAAGAGAACCACUACGGUCUGCCCUACCCGUUCACCUAGCAAAUAUUUAGCAAGUGCCUAUCGUGGGCCAAGCAGUCAAUCUUUCAGUCUUUUUUCUUUUCAACAGGCUUAAUUCACUGUCAUUUUUCUUGUAUACAAACUACAUGGUAACCACAGCUGGAGCCUGGGUCUGCUGCACGGAACCUCCAGUAUGGGUCUUUAUAGGAUGGUCAGUGAGUUCCUGAGAGGGGGCCUCGGAGAACGUGGUCUCCUUCCAGAGGUCGGCAUGAGACAGCUCUAGGUCUUGGAGAUGGCAUCCCAAGUGGCCUUGGCGAAGUUGCCCGGGGUGGCCGUGCAGCGGCCGGCGGAAGUUGAGCAGCCCGCACAACGCCGGGCCCCCUGGGCCAGGGACGUGGUGCUACAGCAUGGAGCUGCAGCGUCCAGUCACCUUGCAAGGGACGGUGUGGAGCUUGCUGAUCUCGUUCUCCCAGAGGCCUUGCUGCACCGGGGCUAGAGACCUUGGCCAAGCAUGAUGGUCCCAUGGAUGUCUGUGGCCACCUCACUGGAACAUUUAACAGCGAAUCCCCUAUGGCAACAAAUGUCUUGAACCCGGUCUGCCUGUCGGCAUGGGUCUGCUUUUGCAUGGGCAUGAUCUUCAAAACCUCAUCCUUGAAGGACGAUCCGAGGAAAACCUCGAUGAUCUCAGAUUCCUUGAUGGGCAGGUGGAAGAGCUCACUGUACUGUACUCCCCUUCUUCUCGUGCUGAUGUGGGAUGAUAAAAUGCCUACGCGAUGAGAUGAAAAGAGGGGGCAUUAGGCUACUAUUGACCUGCUAAACCUACGUCAGAAGAAGGACCCAUCUGCUUCCAGAUGACAGUGACUGCAGUGGCAUGAACACUAUCAUACUUGUGCAUCCUUCCCAAACCCUACUGGAUCUGGACAAGAACAGGGGAGCAGGAGAAUGGCAGCAGCCAAGGAAGGGACUGUGGAAUCCAACAGGUACGGGUUUGACUCUGGCUCUGCCACUUAUCAGUGUGAUUUGGGGGUAGGUAUGUCACUCCCUAAGCCCCACGCAUCUAUAAAGCAGGGAUGAAGUUGUGGUAGGAUUAUGGGAGAUAAUAUAUACACAGAGCAUUUGGCACAUGCCUGGUACAUCAUAAACACUUAAUAAAUUAGUGGUUAUAACAAC